Long non-coding RNA from Megalops cyprinoides (Indo-Pacific tarpon), 212 nucleotides. RefSeq lists it as uncharacterized. Lineage: Eukaryota; Metazoa; Chordata; Actinopteri; Elopiformes; Megalopidae. The record is from RefSeq and is a predicted model, not a curated record. The transcript has 3 exons.
CAGACGGCUGCGAGUGACCCAAAUCAGAUGAGUCCAUUGCUUGGUCCACUCAACAAAAUUGUAAAGGGUCUUGAGGAAAUGCCUCCGAAGGUUUGUGGGGCCACAAAUUCCCCAUCCACAACCGAAGAUAUUGAAGAGAUGACGACUGAGAGCAACCAGAUCCAGACGGCUGCGAGCGACCCAAAUCAGAUGAGUCCAUUGCUUGGUCCACU